RNAcentral lists this transfer RNA (74 nucleotides) under Selaginella moellendorffii. It matches the Rfam family "tRNA". Rfam says of the family: Transfer RNA (tRNA) molecules are approximately 80 nucleotides in length. Their secondary structure includes four short double-helical elements and three loops (D, anti-codon, and T loops). Further hydrogen bonds mediate the characteristic L-shaped molecular structure. tRNAs have two regions of fundamental functional importance: the anti-codon, which is responsible for specific mRNA codon recognition, and the 3' end, to which the tRNAs corresponding amino acid is attached (by aminoacyl-tRNA synthetases). tRNAs cope with the degeneracy of the genetic code in two manners: having more than one tRNA (with a specific anti-codon) for a particular amino acid; and 'wobble' base-pairing, i.e. permitting non-standard base-pairing at the 3rd anti-codon position. The record is from Rfam by way of RNAcentral. Lineage: Eukaryota; Viridiplantae; Streptophyta; Lycopodiopsida; Selaginellales; Selaginellaceae.
GUCGCUUUGGCCGAGUGGUUAAGGCGUGUGCCUCAUGGGGUUUCCCCGCGAGUGUUCGAAUCUCUCAGGCGACG